AUGACGUCCGAGCGCCCGCUUAUCGACGCCGCCUCCGCGCACCCGCCGCCGCCGGCGUCGCAACUCCCGCCGUCGCAGCCGGAGCCUUCCGUUCGCGCUGACCACCUGGGCUUCUCCGUUGAGGUCCCGGACCCCUUCCGCCCCUCCCGACGCGACCAGCCCGACCCGUCGGCGUCGGAGCGGGAGCUCCACGAGGGGGGUGAGUACCGCGCCGUCGCCGUGGGGGAGCCAUCGCCGGAGUUUGCCGGCAACGCUGUCCGGACGGCCAAGUACUCCGCGCUCACCUUCCUGCCGCGCAACCUGUUCGAGCAGUUCCGACGGCUGUCGUACGUCUACUUCCUCGCCAUCACCGUGCUCAACCAGCUCCCCCAGGUCGCCGUCUUUGGCCGUGGCGCGUCUGUGCUCCCGCUGGCCUUCGUGCUCUUCGUCACCGCUGUGAAGGACGCCUACGAGGACAUCCGCCGCCACCGCUCCGACCGCAGGGAGAACAACCGCCUCGCCGCCGUCCUCGCGCCACAAACCGCCGGCGAGUACCUCCCCAAGAAAUGGAAGCACAUACGCGUCGGGGACGUCGUGCGCGUCGCGUCCAACGAGACGCUCCCGGCCGACAUGGUUCUGCUCGCCACUAGUGACCCCACUGGCCUCGCGCACGUCCAGACCGUCAAUCUUGACGGGGAGACCAACCUCAAGACGAGGUAUGCCAAGCAGGAGACGCAGUUGAGGUUCUCUCACGACGGCCACGUAGCUGGUAUGCUGCAUUGCGAGCGGCCCAACAGGAACAUUUGUGGGUUCCAGGCGAAUUUGGAGAUCGACGGCAAUCGUGUCUCACUCGGACCGUCCAACAUUGUGCUCCGUGGUUGUGAGCUCAAGAAUACCACAUGGGCUAUAGGGGUCGUGGUUUAUGCUGGAAAGGAGACUAAGGUCAUGCUCAACAACUCUGGGCCGCCAUCCAAGCGUAGCCGCUUGGAGACACAGUUGAAUCGGGAGACAGUCAUAUUGUCCAUUAUGCUCAUUGGGAUGUGCAUAACUGCAUCUGUGCUCGCAGGGAUUUGGCUGCUGAAUCACCAGCGGGAGCUUGAGUUCACCCAAUUCUUUAGAGAAAAGGAUUACACAACCGGGAAGAACUACAAUUACUAUGGAAUCGGAAUGCAGAUAUUCGUUACAUUCCUCAUGGCCGUCAUAGUGUAUCAGUGCAGGGCUCUGAAUAUAAAUGAGGAUUUGGGGCAGAUUAAGUAUGUUUUCUCUGAUAAGACAGGGACGCUGACAGAGAACAAGAUGGAGUUCAUGUGUGCAUCCAUUCACGGAGUUGAUUACAGUUCUGGCAAACCUGCAUGUGGGUCCUCAGUUGUAGUUGAUGAUCUUCUGUGGACACCAAAAAUGGCAGUUAGGACUGACCCUCAGCUUUUGAAGUUAUUGAACAAUGACAGCUCAAAUGAGGAAGCAAAGCUUGUCCUUGAAUUCUUCCUUGCUCUUGCUGCCUGCAAUACAAUUGUGCCACUUGUCCUGGACACUAGAGAUCCUAAACAAAAGUUGAUUGAUUAUCAGGGUGAGUCCCCUGAUGAGCAGGCACUAGCUUAUGCUGCAGCAACUUAUGGCAUUGUGCUUGUUGAGCGAACAUCUGGUUACGUAGUGAUCGAUGUCCUUGGUGACAGACAGAGAUUUGAUAUAUUAGGACUUCAUGAGUUUGAUAGUGAUCGUAAGAGGAUGUCUGUCAUUGUCGGCUGCCCUGAUAAGACUGUUAAGUUAUAUGUCAAAGGUGCAGACAGUUCAAUGUUUGGAAUUAUCAACAAAUCAUUAGAGCUGGACAAUGUUCGUGCUACAGAGGCACAUCUCCACAAAUAUUCAUCACUUGGCCUAAGAACUCUUGUUGAGUGGCAGUUGGCAUAUGAGAAGGCUAGCACAGCAGUACUUGGCAGGGGAAAUUUACUCCGAUCAAUUGCAGCCAACGUAGAGUGCAAUAUCCACAUAUUGGUGGCCUCUGGGAUUGAAGAUAAGCUUCAAGAUGGGGUACCAGAAGCAAUAGAAUCUCUUCGGCAAGCAGGCAUGAAAGUUUGGAUUUUAACAGGGGAUAAGCAGGAGACAGCAAUUUCUAUUGGCUACUCUUGUAAGCUGCUGACGAAUGACAUGACACAAAUUGUGAUAAAUAACAAUUCUAAGGAGUCUUGCAAGAAAAGUCUCGGGGAAGCACUUGCAAGAACUAAGGAGCACAGAGUUGCUUUGUCAAUUGGCUCACCGUAUCCAGUGUUAGCAUCAGAAUCUUCUGGUACAGUUCUUGCUUUGAUUGUGGACGGUAACAGCCUUGUUUACAUACUUGAGACAGAGUUGCAAGAAGAGCUUUUCAAAGUAGCAACAGAAUGUAGUGUUGUCUUAUGUUGUCGAGUGGCUCCUCUACAAAAGGCAGGCAUAGUUGCACUUAUCAAAAACAGGACAGAUGAUAUGACCUUAGCAAUUGGUGAUGGAGCAAAUGAUGUUUCAAUGAUCCAAAUGGCUGAUGUUGGGGUUGGUAUCAGUGGCCAAGAAGGAGGACAAGCUGUUAUGGCAUCAGAUUUUUCUAUGGGACAAUUCAGAUUCUUGGUUCCUCUUCUAUUAGUUCAUGGUCACUGGAAUUAUCAAAGGAUGGGUUACAUGAUCCUUUACAACUUCUACAAGAAUGCCACAUUUGUCUUGGUUCUUUUCUGGUAUGUGCUUUAUACAUCAUUCACUUUGACGACUGCUAUCACCGAAUGGAGUAGUCUCCUGUAUACUGUGCUUUAUACAUCCCUUCCAACAAUUGUUGUUGGUAUUCUUGACAAGGAUCUUAGCAAGUCAACACUGCUAGCUUACCCAAAGCUUUAUGGAUCUGGCCAACGGGAUGAGAAGUAUAAUUUGAAUUUGUUUGUCCUCAAUAUGCUUGAAGCACUUUGGCAGAGUUUGGUUGUGUUCUACAUACCGUAUUUUGCAUAUCGACAAAGUACUAUAGGCAUGUCUAGUCUUGGAGAUUUGUGGGCACUUGCAUCAGUCAUCGUUGUAAAUAUGCAAUUGGCCAUGGACAUCAUUCGGUGGAAUUGGAUUAUACAUGCGUUCGUAUGGGGGACGAUAGCAGCAACAGUGAUUUGUCUAUUUGUGAUAGAUUCGAUAUGGGUUCUUCCUGGUUAUGGGGCCAUCUAUCACAUAAUGGGGCAAGGCUUGUUUUGGUUACUGCUGCUUAUCAUUGUUGUCACAGCAAUGAUCCCACAUUUUGCAAUCAAGGCUUUCACGGAGCAUUUUGUUCCCAGUGAUAUUCAAAUCGGCCGAGAAAUAGAGAAGUUUGAGGCUUUAAAUCAGGUGAAUCGUUCGGAAAUUCCAAUGCGAACGUUUUCAUGA
Molecule: ribosomal RNA, 3342 nt
Filed under: Triticum aestivum (bread wheat)
Lineage: Eukaryota; Viridiplantae; Streptophyta; Magnoliopsida; Poales; Poaceae
Description: partial small subunit ribosomal RNA
Source: RNAcentral